UCCUGGUAGCUCAGACAGUAAAGCAUCUACCUGCAAUGUGGGAGACCCGGGUUCGAUCCCUGGGUCAGGAA
Molecule: transfer RNA, 71 nt
Filed under: Ovis aries (sheep)
Lineage: Eukaryota; Metazoa; Chordata; Mammalia; Artiodactyla; Bovidae
Rfam family: tRNA
About the family: Transfer RNA (tRNA) molecules are approximately 80 nucleotides in length. Their secondary structure includes four short double-helical elements and three loops (D, anti-codon, and T loops).
Source: Rfam by way of RNAcentral